RNAcentral lists this ribosomal RNA (406 nucleotides) under uncultured bacterium. Its description in RNAcentral is "partial 16S ribosomal RNA". It matches the Rfam family "Bacterial small subunit ribosomal RNA", at positions 29 to 526 of the family's 1533-position model. The record is from RNAcentral.
AUUGAACGCUGGCGGCAGGCCUAACACAUGCAAGUCGAACGAGUGGCGGACGGGUGAGUAAUGUCUGGGAAACUGCCCGAUGGAGGGGGAUAACUACUGGAAACGGUAGCUAAUACCGCAUACCAUCAGAUGCGCCCAGAUGGGAUAAGCUAGUAGGUGGGGUAACGGCUCACCUAGGCGACGAUCCCUAGCUGGUCUGAGAGGAUGACCAGCCACACUGGGACGGGGAAACGGCCAAGAAUCCUACGAGAGGCAGCAGUGGAGAAUAUUGCACAAUGGGAGCAAGACUGAUGCAAGCAUGCCGCGUGUAUGAAGAAGGCCGUGGGGUUAUAAAGUACUUUAAGAGGGGAGGCGUUACCCCCAGAAGAGGCACCGGCGAAAUCCGAGCCAGCAGACGCGGAAAUAC